UGAAAAAUGAAUACAGGGUAAGAAACAGAAGGAAAAGAGGCAAAAAUAGAGUAUGGAGUACUUAAAAUUUGUAACUAGCCUUUGAAGCAUUUUUAUUCAUGUUAUUCGGCAGAUGCCUUCUGAAAAGUUUUCUGUUCAACAGAGUCAUAAAAUGUUAGCCCUAGAAGGUGCCUUGAAGACCACGAUGAGUUAACUUUCUUCCUUUGCCAAGGAAGAAGCGAUUACUUCAGCAACUGUAAAUAUCAAAAACCAAUCCUGGCAUACUUCCUUCAGAGAGUUUUGUUGUAAGCCAUUGUAUGGAAAUAUUGGAGUCUGUUUUAAGGAAAGUUCUCAUCAAGGUAUAACCAGCUCUAUCAUGUUGCAUUGUGCUUGAUGACUUGGGGAAUGAUCAUUAUGACGGUCAGAAUCUGCUGGAGCAAAGAUGUGUCUUCUCUGUGUAACUUCACAUAGUGGAAGGAGUCAGGAACCUCUCUGAGGUCUCUUCUAUAAGAGGACUAAUCCCAUUCAUAAGGAGCGGUAUUUAUACCCCAGCAGGACUUGCUUGAAUACAAGGAACGCCAUCUAAUGAAAAUCCCAUGCCGCAGGCUGAGCUGGAGGGAGCAUCGUGAGUGGCUCAGACCCAGGCCUUCAAGACUGAGGAGGAAGCAACAGCAGCUGUGCAUUGGGCCCACAGAAAGAAUGGUUGAAGACUGCAGUGUAUUUUGAGUUUCUGCUUUGGAGGGGAGGGUUGGUCCUGAUGCCCACAGACGAAUGGCCUCCUGGUUCCAAUCAAGGCCAGCCCAAAAGUCUGCUUCUGGAACCCAAACCUAAGGGACUCAGCUAUGUUUGUGUUGACCUACUAUCAAUAAAGAAGAUCCUUAUUUAAGAACAGGCCACCUUCUGUUUUACACAUAUACUUUCUGACCCUAGAAAUUGUUCAGAAGGUGGAAUGUUUUGCUGUUUCAAUGAGAUCACAUGUGUAAAGGCUCUUUGUACACUGCAGGAGCUAUAGAAAUGUGAGUUAUGAUUGCUCAAAUUUCAUUCCCUUUGCUCUAAUUUUGAGUUAGGGGAGAGAAAGCCGGCCUGUAAAGUACAUAUCACAGUUUCUCUUUCUCAGCUUUCAACUGCAUGGGAGUUUGUAUUUCUGUUUCUACUACUCCAUUUCCUCUGCUGAUACCCUGCCAGGGAGGUGAAUGUAUCAAGUCAGGAAGUAGACUUCUCAGAAUAAAGAAUGCAGAAUUAGAAUGUUUAGUGCACCCAAGGUUAGGUGUAGAGUGUGUCAUAUGAAAGUAAUAGGUAUACUUUUUUCAUAGCAUUUAAUAUGCCUUUAUCCUUAAAUUUUUAAUAGGUUUUGAUAUAUCAAAGUAUAUAAAAGUAUACACUUUAUUAUAAUUGUCAACUGUAUUUUUGUAGUUUUCUUCUCUCACUUUUCAGAGAGGGGAGAAUUUAGCCCUUACUGUGAAAACAAAUACACAAGGAAGAAACAAGCUUAUUACAAACAAGAAUGUUCCUCUAUUACAUGUACUGAUCUAAAAACCUUAGUCUAGUUACUCCUCCUGAAGCUCAUGUUUAAUAUUUGGAAUAGAAAAUACUUUUCUAUUAAAAAAUCCAGAAGAAAUUAAGAUAUUGAUUUUUCCCCAUAAGAUCUCUGUUGUGGUGACUGCAGUGACUGUAAUAUCUUCUGUCGUUGCAUUUGUAAUGGCUUCAUCAAGAAUGAGAUUGCCUCCCAAAGGGUGGGUUAGAAGUUUCCCAUCUGCAGGCAUUGCUUGGCCAGCAUCUAUCCUCUAUUUCCACAACCCACCAUGUUUUUUGGAAUAAUAUGGGUGCUCUUAGUAACUCAUGCAAGGGUGGUCAUUUUGCUUCUGUAUGAUAUUGAUUCUAUAACUUGCAACCAGUGGCAGAGCUCAGUGGAGGACUUUCCACCUUCCACCCACCCUGCUCUUUUCUGGCCACAGCCAAGAGCUCCAGAUUACAGAGAUUCUGACUGGUGAAUUUGGAAGUAAUCACUUCAUUUCCCAGGAGGUCCAAUUCAGGAUAUACCUCUAGUUUAGAGUUGGUUGCGAGAGUUAUGCAAACCAACAAUAAAACUGGGAGACUCCAGACGCCAUUGCCCUCAAGGCCUUGGGCACAGCCCAGGGAGUGCCUGGCUGUGUGGACUUGGAGCCAAGGGCCCUGGGACUGCAUGCGACACCACUACUCAACACACAAGAGAUUCCCAGCUUAGCACAAAAUAGGUUUUUGUUUGAUUCCUUCCCAGUGUUUACCUAAUUUAAACUCUGUACUCUAAUUUGAACAAUUGUUAUGUUUGCUCUCAAUAAAUCAAAAUGAGAUGUUCUGAAUAAUCCAUUUGGUACCAAUGGAAAAAAAAACCCACUGUUGAAAUGUAUGAUUGUUAUUUUGGUGAAAACAUGAAGAA
This 2395-nucleotide long non-coding RNA is filed under the name Homo sapiens (human). Its description in RNAcentral is "HSALNT0313143". The record is from RNAcentral. Lineage: Eukaryota; Metazoa; Chordata; Mammalia; Primates; Hominidae.